Pangasianodon gigas (Mekong giant catfish) is the source of this 74-nucleotide non-coding RNA. Lineage: Eukaryota; Metazoa; Chordata; Actinopteri; Siluriformes; Pangasiidae. The record is from the annotation of a GenBank genome assembly.
CACAGUGGUGGCUCAGUGGUUAAGGCUGCGGACUACCAAACAGAAGGUCAUAAGUUCAAGCCCUAGCACUGUCA